CUUUUGCUUGCAACGGUCCCCAAAGCCACCUGAACUUUCACCAAGCCAUCUGCUGCCUGGACGGCAAGAGAGGGUAUAAACCAAACAGCCAUUAAGUGACGCUUCUAGGAUCCCACAACCAGACGGUCAGGAACAGACCAGCAGAGACGGGAGAGGAAAUGUCUGUUUAAAACGGAGGAAUGCAUCCGAUGAAGUGAGCUGUA
Dermochelys coriacea (leatherback sea turtle) is the source of this 203-nucleotide long non-coding RNA. RefSeq lists it as uncharacterized. The record is from RefSeq and is a predicted model, not a curated record. The transcript has 3 exons. Lineage: Eukaryota; Metazoa; Chordata; Testudines; Dermochelyidae.